AUUGAACGCUGGCGGCAGGCUUAACACAUGCAAGUCGAGCGGGGUGAUGGUGCUUGCACUAUCACUUAGCGGCGGACGGGUGAGUAAUGCUUAGGAAUCUGCCUAUUAGUGGGGGACAACAUCUCGAAAGGGAUGCUAAUACCGCAUACGUCCUAAGGGAGAAAGCAGGGGAUCACUUGUGACCUUGCGCUAAUAGAUGAGCCUAAGUCGGAUUAGCUAGUUGGUGGGGUAAAGGCCUACCAAUGCGACGAUCUGUAGCGGGUCUGAGAGGAUCAUCCGCCACGCUGGGACUGAGACACGGCCCAGACUCCUACGGGAGGCAGCAGUGGGGAAUAUUGGACGAUGGGGGGAACCCUGAUCCAGCCAUGCCGCGUGUGUGAAGAAGGCCUUAUGGUUGUAAAGCACUUUAAGCGAGGAGGAGGCUCUUUUGGUUAAUACCCAAGAUGAGUGGACGUUACUCGCAGAAUAAGCACCGGCUAACUCUGUGCCAGCCGCCGCGGUAA
Molecule: ribosomal RNA, 503 nt
Filed under: uncultured bacterium
Lineage: Bacteria
Description: partial 16S ribosomal RNA
Rfam family: Bacterial small subunit ribosomal RNA
Source: RNAcentral